Molecule: non-coding RNA, 519 nt
Organism: Vigna umbellata (rice bean)
Lineage: Eukaryota; Viridiplantae; Streptophyta; Magnoliopsida; Fabales; Fabaceae
Source: RefSeq, a predicted model, not a curated record
UCACAAAAUAUAUAUACUUCUGGAAAACAGGCAUUCAUAGCACCAGUACACAACACCGUGCCUACAACCAAGUUCAGUUUUAGCUUAUGUUUCUUCUCGCAACCCUCAAGUUUUUUCAUUACACUUUUCAAAUCCUGGGACUAUUUCACAGCCUACCUAUCAAAUCAAGUUGGCACUGGCAAAGUCCACUUCGCUAUUGAACUCUUUUUUGCAUGAAAAAGAAUACGAAUCCAAGAAAGAAGCAAAAUCGUAAAGCGGAGAUCAUAGAGAUCAGUUCCGCACUAUCAAUUGGUAAAGUGUUACUCUUCAUUUUUGCAUCUGCAUUAAUUUUAUUUUUCUGAUGAAAAAAACUGGUAACAACAAACACCAUAAGAACCAAUGCAUGCGUGCUUUUCUACUGCUCAAUACACAGUUAUGUCAAAAUUUAAUAUCAAAACAGAAGUUUGUACUUAUUUAUCUGGUUGCAGACAAUAAAUAUAUUAAUUAGUUAUGCAUUUUUUAAAAAUUAUUAAACAUUAU